UUCACUGACUCUGAACUUGUUUAGUCAAGGCCAUAUCACAGUGGAGGUUCCCUCCUCCCUUCAGAGAAAGGCGCCUCUCUCCUUGAUGGCCUGUUCCUUCUGCUGGGGUCUUGUUCACCAGGAUCUUUCAUUUAGAUUGUUUUUAGGCACCGCUUCUUAAGGACGACACCUGGCCCCUGAGGUUUGCACGGGAGUGGGUGGAGCUUGGGCAAUGCCCACGCGGCUGCGGCCCGGGGCACACUGUGUGCAGUACAGGUACUGGCAAUCCUCAGCUCGUGUUUGAAGCUACCUCCCUACUUACAUCAGAGAUUCUGCUGCAGGCUGAUGGCUGAUCCUGCUGCAUACAAGGAUUACUGGAGAGGUGUGCUGUUCAGCUUUCGGAUCCUGGGAGAAGCCCCUGGAGACACAACUAAGCAGACAAGCAGAGACAGAUUCCAUGCUUCAGCAAACCACACAGGUGCAAAUCUCAGGUCUUCACAGGAGGUAUCCUCAGAGGUCAGUUAAGAGAAUCCAUUCUAGUUCUGAAACACAAAAUGAUCAUCUCACAUAAACAAAUUUCUCAGCGAAUAAGUGCCUAGGUUGCUGUUGGAAGGGUUCCCAGGAUGGGACGAUAACAUUUGACAACCACCAUAGGGGUUUUAUCUUUAUUAACCAAAGUGCAGCUCUGGGGGAUGUCUCAAUAUGAAUAAAUGAUGUUUUUGCUAAUGCAGCCAGUAUUCAAAAGUAACAAAUCCACUGCUUUACAUGGCAAGCAAUAGUGACAGUUUUGUUUUCCUAAAUAAUCUGUCUCAUUAACUGAAGCUAUCUACUUUCUUAGCAUUACCUCACUUAAUGCUGCCACUUGGAUAAACACAAACUGCCUGAAACAUAUAUAUUCUUUAUGAUCCCCAAACUCUGCUCCUCUAUGGCUCCUUUUGUUUUUAUUGAGUGCAUUUUAUGGUGGUAAAAGGGUACAGACUGAACCAUCACUUUCUGGUGGCUGUAAUUUAGCCUUUAACAAGCAAAGCUCCCAAGUCCCAGAGAAGUGUAAUAGCUCAGGAGCGGAUGCUGGGGGCGCCAAUGAGGUUGACUUUGGUAAAAGCUGAUCGCUACUCAGACAUGAAAAUGAGGCUGCAAAAGCAUUCUCCAAUGUGUACGUGAGAAGGAACAAAAAUGGAAUGCUAGACGUAGAUAAUUGGAAAAUUUUUAGCUAAAACAGAGGCAGCUGAUGUCAUGGUAAUAAUCAAAUAGCAAUCAUAAUAUUGGUAACAGCUCUCAUUCAUCAAGUACCACAAAGUAUGGUAUCUUGUACGAUGCUAAGCACUUCUCAAGCUCAACUCAUUCUGUCAUUACCUUAUGAACUGCACAAACCUCUUAGUCUUUAAGAUCUAGUUUAUAAAUACGAAAAUUUAAAAAUAAGGAUGAAAAUCACAAAGCAAU
Oryctolagus cuniculus (rabbit) is the source of this 1419-nucleotide non-coding RNA. The record is from RefSeq and is a predicted model, not a curated record. Lineage: Eukaryota; Metazoa; Chordata; Mammalia; Lagomorpha; Leporidae.